CAGCCGCCGCGGGAAAACGAAGGGUGCAAGCGUUACUCGGAAUUACUGGGCGUAAAGCGUGCGUAGGUGGUGGUUUAAGUCCGUUGUGAAAGCCCUGGGCUCAACCUGGGAAUUGCAGUGGAUACUGGGUCACUAGAGUGUGGUAGAGGAUAGUGGAAUUUCCGGUGUAGCAGUGAAAUGCGUAGAGAUCGGAAGGAACAUCUGUGGCGAAGGCGACUAUCUGGGCCAACACUGACACUGAGGCACGAAAGCGUGGGGAGCAAACAGGAUUAGAUACCCCUGUAGUCCCUGUCUCUUAUAC
This 301-nucleotide ribosomal RNA is filed under the name uncultured bacterium. Its description in RNAcentral is "partial 16S ribosomal RNA". It matches the Rfam family "Bacterial small subunit ribosomal RNA", at positions 509 to 807 of the family's 1533-position model. The record is from RNAcentral.